This 218-nucleotide long non-coding RNA is filed under the name Lathyrus oleraceus (garden pea). RNAcentral's name for it is "Pisum sativum (pea) long non-coding RNA (PSAT_LNC034282)". The record is from RNAcentral. Lineage: Eukaryota; Viridiplantae; Streptophyta; Magnoliopsida; Fabales; Fabaceae.
UUGAACUGAAAUUUUCGAUUCAGUGUUUUAGGUUGGUCCAUCCCAUUAACCUGUUUUAAUAUCGUGACGGGGGCAAGGGUGAAUGGAUUUUGUCCACAAGUUUUUGUUAAAUUUCUUUUUUUUUUUAAUUUUAAAUUAAAAUUGAACAGUCUAGGGAGGAGGUCAUACCACUAAUCUUUUUUUUAUUAAUAAAAAUUAUAAUAUGAGUAAUAACGUUU